GAUGAACGCUGGCGGCGUGCCUAAUACAUGCAAGUCGAGCGAACAGACGAGGAGCUUGCUCCUCUGACGUUAGCGGCGGACGGGUGAGUAAAACGUGGAUAACCUACCUAUAAGACUGGGAUAACUUCGGGAAACCGGAGCUAAUACCGGAUAAUAUAUUGAACCGCAUGGUUCAAUAGUGAAAGACGGUUUUGCUGUCACUUAUAGAUGGAUCCGCGCCGCAUUAGCUAGUUGGUAAGGUAACGGCUUACCAAGGCAACGAUGCGUAGCCGACCUGAGAGGGUGAUCGGCCACACUGGAACUGAGACACGGUCCAGACUCCUACGGGAGGCAGCAGUAGGGAAUCUUCCGCAAUGGGCGAAAGCCUGACGGAGCAACGCCGCGUGAGUGAUGAAGGUCUUCGGAUCGUAAAACUCUGUUAUUAGGGAAGAACAAUUGUGUAAGUAACUAUGCACGUCUUGACGGUACCUAAUCAGAAAGCCACGGCUAACUACGUG
Molecule: ribosomal RNA, 497 nt
Filed under: uncultured bacterium
Lineage: Bacteria
Description: partial 16S ribosomal RNA
Rfam family: Bacterial small subunit ribosomal RNA
Source: RNAcentral